RNAcentral lists this ribosomal RNA (253 nucleotides) under uncultured bacterium. Its description in RNAcentral is "partial 16S ribosomal RNA". It matches the Rfam family "Bacterial small subunit ribosomal RNA", at positions 524 to 776 of the family's 1533-position model. The record is from RNAcentral.
UACGAAGGGGGCUAGCGUUGCUCGGAAUCACUGGGCGUAAAGCGCACGUAGGCGGCUUUUUAAGUCAGGGGUGAAAUCCUGGAGCUCAACUCCAGAACUGCCUUUGAUACUGAGAAGCUUGAGUCCGGGAGAGGUGAGUGGAACUGCGAGUGUAGAGGUGAAAUUCGUAGAUAUUAGGAAGAACACCGGUGGCGAAGGCGGCCCACUGGAGCGGUACUGACGCUGAGGUGCGAAAGCGUGGGGAGCAAACAGG